UACAGGGGGUGCAAACGUUUGCUCGGAAUCAUUGGGCGUAAAGCGCACGUAGGCGGUUCGUUAUGUCGGAUGUGAAAGCCCUUGGCUUAACCGAGGAAGUGCAUCCGAAACUGGCGAGCUAGAGUACGAAAGAGGAUCGCGGAAUUCCCGGUGUAGAGGUGAAAUUCGUAGAUAUCGGGAGGAACACCGGUGGCGAAGGCGGCGAUCUGGGUCGAUACUGACGCUGAGGUGCGAAAGCGUGGGGAGCAAACAGG
Molecule: ribosomal RNA, 254 nt
Filed under: uncultured bacterium
Lineage: Bacteria
Description: partial 16S ribosomal RNA
Rfam family: Bacterial small subunit ribosomal RNA
Source: RNAcentral